RNAcentral lists this long non-coding RNA (1326 nucleotides) under Homo sapiens (human). Its description in RNAcentral is "HSALNT0301152". The record is from RNAcentral. Lineage: Eukaryota; Metazoa; Chordata; Mammalia; Primates; Hominidae.
UCAAACCUCUAAAUUCUCUAUUCUGUGCCUCGCGAUCAGCUGAUGAUCUCACUUGAGAAAAUGAGUAAACAGAAGGAAACAAUCUUCCUUUGCAAAAUCCACUGAGCUAGUUUGACCUAUAUCCAUGUACUCAGCCUUCCCUCUUCAUACAAUGGAUAGAGUGUCCUGUCCACCUGAGUCCAGGGUGCUGCCUCCUCACCUGUGGAAGGACUCUGCCCUUCUAUUAUACCCCCUCUCUCUCCAGCAUCAUCAAAUCUCCCUCUCUAUGGGAGCAUUCCCAUCAGGAAACAUACAUGUUAUAAUAUCAAUAUCGCUGAUAAAAAUAUUCCCUUACCUUACCUUCUCCAGCCACUUUAUAGCAAAACCCCACAAAAGCAUUGCUUAUUCUGUCUCCACUUCCUCACCCCAAUUCUCUCCUGAACCCACUCUAAUCAGCUUUCAUUUCAGCUGCUCCACUUAACCUCUCUGAUGAAAAUCAGCAGUUAGGCCUAUAUCUCCCCAGUCCUCAUUUUACCUCCCUCUCAGCAGCAUUGCCACAUGGCUGGGCAUGCCCUCUUUUCUGAAACCCUUUCUCUACUGGGCCUCUGCAGCAGCACAUACUUCUGCUUUGCUUCCUUCCAUACCAACCUCUCGCUCCAUGAAUGUUCCUUCACCAGCUCUGCCUCCUUGCCCCAACCUCUAAAUCUUGGCGUUCCGCAGGACUAACCCUCGGCCUUCUUCUCUUUGACACUCACCCCCAGGUGAUUGCAUGAUUUCACAUAGCAUCUAUAUGAGGAUGACUCUCAAAAACCUGUCUCCACCCCCAGUCUCCCCUGAACUCCAGACCGGUACAUCCACCUGCCUACUGUAUAUCUCCUCUUGGGUAUAGGAUGAGCAUCUACAAAGAUACUGAAAUGGAUCUAAUUUUAGUCUCAGUAUCUCUUUAGGUGAUAGAGGCUAUGUUCCUAAGUGAAGAAUGAAGUAGUGGCAGUUCCAUCAGAUGCUUAGAGCCAGAGACAGUCCUAAGCAAACACCUGGAAAAGAAAUCCGGUGAGAAAUUCCAAGCAAUAGGAAUUUUCUCUGAAGAUCACUUGGAAGUGCCCCAUGAGAAAAACCACUAGCUUCAAACCCCUGCCAAGCCCAGAGAAUGCCUUACACUGAAAUAGAUCAUCAUAAAAUUAAUAGCCCCUCAAACACUGCCUGGCUCAGAGUUGGCGCUUGUUAAAAUUUUGAGGAAGCAAGCAAGCAAGCACAUGGGAGGAUACCAAAACAUGGCAGUAAAAGGAGCUAAACACACAAAAGAAAAGACAGAGUUCUGCUCUUGUUGCCCAAGCUGGAGUGCAGUGG